Non-coding RNA from Heterocephalus glaber (naked mole-rat), 3459 nucleotides. NCBI's taxonomy places the organism in Eukaryota, Metazoa, Chordata, Mammalia, Rodentia, Bathyergidae. The record is from RefSeq and is a predicted model, not a curated record.
AUGGCAAUGAAGUGUUCCCAUGCUGGGCAUUCUGACUUUUAAAUAUAUAUUGACUGUCAAAGACUUCCUUCUCUUACAAAAUAUUUCGUGUAGGGGGGAUUUGGAAAUAUAGCUUACUUUAAGAAAACUAAGGGAUAUUUAAAAUGCCUCGGAAAUUAGAAGACAAGAAAAAAUCGCACUCCCUCAAGCCUUCUCACCUCGAUCUCUCAUUUUGAGAGAGGAGAAAACUUUCUAUCUCGAUAGCCUGUGUGAGUAACUUUGAUAGUGAGAGCUGAGUCCUUUGAUAUCCUGGAAUCUGCAAAUGUAGGUUGUACGUCUACCUCUCUCAGGCAAGGAGGUGCGACCUGGUGGGGCCCACCCUGUGGGAAUAUUCAUCUCCUAUAUUUGAGCAAGAUUCUGCUGAAAACUACACCUGCCUCCUCUACUAUACUGGCCAAAGCCAAGAAUAGCUCAAAUCAGAGCUAUUCUCUGGUGUUCAGAGCCCUUAUGGGGGGAGAUUUGUGUGUGUGAUGUUUGUCUUUGUGUAUGUAGUUAGUGGUGGUGGGGAGAGGAGUUUAAGAAUGUUUAUAUACUUCAGAAAUUCUAAGAAUUAUUACGUCUGUGGCUCUUUUGUUGUUGUUGGCAUCCAGUGAAGAUCCUUCAUGAAAAUAAGAACUCACUCAAACAACUCUCAAGAAAUCCAACACAGUAUUAUUCCAUGUUUGGUGUCUGCAGCUCUCGAUGGUACCCCUGGUUCGCCUCCUGGCUCGCCUCCUGGCUCUCCGUGUCCUGGGCAGACUCAGUAGUCUCAUCUGUGAAAGGGAGCUGUGCUGUCUGUUCUUUGACACCUUAUAAAUGGCUGCAGGUGGGCAGAUAGAAAAGGUGAGAGGGGAGAGCUCAGGGAAUUUUAAACUGGGGAGGGAGAUUUGCUGCUGGAUGUACCUUCUUGCUUCAGAGAUAGAAGGGACUGUGUUCUACAGACUUAAAAAGGAAUCCACCAGCUGGAGUUUGAUCCAUGUAACAGCUGACCCUGAGGAAGCUUGGUAAAAAUGGACAGUGGACUCUCAAAAGUCAGCUGUGUUCUAUUCCCUGAGCAGCUCCUUGCCCAGAGAGGUUGUCACCUGAAAGCCAUUUGAAUCCAUCAGGAGAUAAUUCUUCUAGAGAGAUUGAAGAUCUCCUACAUCUGUCCUGACCCCAAGAGGCUUUGCAGGCUGCUGGAAACAGAAACAAGUCCAACUGCUGCAGUGAGAAAAGGCUACUUCAAAGUAUCUAUAAAGCACAUGCCAUACCAUCACACAGAUGUGGGGGCAGGAUGUGUGUGUGUCUCAGCAAGACAAGCCAAAGGAAUCUACAUGAUGUCUUGUCUCCCAGUGGACUCACGAACACUAUAUUGCCGAACAGUAAAAGGGAUUGAACUCAGGAUCUUGGACUUGUGAGCCAGGUGCCGGAACCACUGAGCUAAAUCCCCGGCCCUGACCUCUGCUUCUUGACCAAUGACAGCUUUCCUCUUCAUCACCAAUCACAGCUUCAAUCCAUUACAACUUUAGUAUAGUGUUAUGUCCUUCUAGAUAAGAUUUAUUUAAGAUACUCAAUCCUAGACUUAUCAUAACAUCCAAUCCAGAAUAAAUCUCAUUUCCUUAAACCUUUUGAAAUCAUCACCUAACUCAACCUUGAAUCUUUUAAAUCCUUUCUGUCAUUCUCUUGGUUAGCUGUAGUGUCUGGUCUCCCUUGCUCACUAGUAAUACACCCACCUUGCUCAACUGUAGAUGCCUCCCUGGUGGGCUUUGACUGGAGCACAUUGACAUCAUCCUUUUUUGCUGGUUGCUUAGUGGGAUGGGUAGUCUACAGACAGCAAGGCCAGCUCAGGGGAAGUCUUGCGUGCACCUCACUCCUGUAGGUGUGAGUACCACAAGGCCUCCCUGGCUUUGGCUCACCUUCUUGAUUCCAUGUGUAGCCAUGACUGUGGCAGAGAAAGCCCAUCCCAACGUCCACACUGCCUUGUUCCUCCUGUUCCUCACCAGCACCCAUUUCCACAGAUGUCAGCCAGGAGAAGAGCGUGUGAAGAGACCUCCUUGCUAGUUUGCUGUGAUAUGCAUUUCACUAUAUCAGGGAGAACACUCAGGAUUUGGAGGUAGUGUUGAUGGUGGGUCUGGAAGUGAAUUAUUUACUGAGCACUGUUGCCCCUCUCUCUUUUUUUACCCUGAAUUUUAUUUUUUCACCUUGGGCCACCAGUUUUUUGUUUUCUUUUGUUUUUGUUUUUGGCUCUCGUGUAUGGGGUUACAGCCCUUUCCUUGUUUGAUUGCUGUCAGUCAUUUUGUAUUGGUUUUAAAUUUUCAUUUGCUACUAAUUUUGUUAGUACUGGGGGAGAGAAGUUCUGCAAUGUUGCUUCUUUUAUUACUGAAGGUGUCUCCUCUCUCCCUAGCUAACCCAAUAAAUAAGCUUGUCUCUCUAUUGGGACACCUUUUUUUUUUCUUUACCUUUUCUGAAGUCCUGCAAGUUCUCCUUUCUUACAGUUUGUGCUUUUGAAAACAAAAGUGAGUUUUGUCUUAGUGCAUGCCUUCUCCAGGUAUCAAAACAGUCAGAUUCUUGAUUUAAUAAAGGAAGGGAAAAGGAGAAACAUAAUGAGAAACUCAUAAUGCAAAUAUCUUCCUGACAUCUGGUUAUGUAAUUAUUAUCUUCUCUCAGUAGGACUGUAUAUCCCACAUCAUAGUCUGUUCCUCAAGCUGCCUGCUCAUGGUCCCAUGCUUAUGGGGCCUCUCUUUAGUGACUGGAUGGUUCUACUUAUAAGGAAUUUUAUCAGUGUGUGGAAUAAAAAUUUGGUCACCAGGAUCUUUGUCUGUUUAGUAUUGUUAUAACACAAAUACUAUAGACUGAAUAAUUUAUGAAUUGAAAUUUAUGUCUCACAGUUCUGGGGGCUGGAAGUCUCAGAUCAGGGAGAUGGUAGGUUUGGGGUCUGAUGUAGAUCAGACUCUUUUUCCAAGAUGGCGCCAUGAACACUGAGCCCUCUGGAAGAGAAGAACAUUGCUUUUCACGUGGCAGAACUGAGGGAGUGAACCCACUCCCACAAAUCCUAAAAAGCCUGAAGAAAGGUAGUAGCAUUAAUUCAUUUAUAAAGACAGAGUCCACAUGGCCUAGACCUGUCCCCCAAAGCCCCACCUCCUAAGACUGCUGAUUAGGGAUUAAGUUGCCAACACAUGGAUUUUGGGGAAGACAUUCAAGCCAUAGUGCCUAGUAAAUUUCAUCCUUUAAACUAGUUCCAUUAUUUGGGACAAUGUCAAAUAAGUCAUGUAUCCUCUCAAGUGACCUUCCAGCAAGCUGAAGCCCAAUGUCAUUUUUCUCUUUUAGCUUAGUCUUCUUUUGAUUAAACAUAUGCAGCUAAUAAUAUUGACAUUUACUUGACAAGGAAAACAAAUAUUUACCCUCCUGAGAACACAGUGUAUAUAAAAACUUGUGGUUUGGAAUGCAUCACUCAGAGUUAAA